AUGUCAACACUUCCUGCUUCAAAUCCUGGCUGCUUAUUUGAUCCGAUGAAACUCUUCUUUGCCUGCGUCUGCUCUAACCCCAGAGAUCUGCAAUCAUAUCAAAUGGAUUCAUGUGUGGCUCUCUUGCCGCUGUGCCUAAGCCUGACAUUUUGGGCCACAUGCACUGGAGAUGCAGGACAGGCUUCUAAACCACACUACACCUGUUGGUCUGGAUUGCAGCUGGAAUUGGAAGGGAAAUGCAUUUCCAUUGAAGGAAGAAGUAUGAGAGUGAGCAGGCAGGUGUCAGCAGAGCUCAAGAGAAUAACGUCAAGUGGACGAUGACUUACAGGCAGGAGGAGGCAGAUCAGCUAGGCAGAUGUGCAGAAGUUAAGUGUGGUUUCAUGCAGAAACUUCCAAGUGGAUUCAAGAGCCAAAGACUUCAAGAAGUUGGUGUAAUUGUCACUUGGAAUAUGUUUGUAUUAAUUCAGGUAGAAUAUAUUAAUAAACAAUAUUCUUAUCAAGAAUCUUCCAUUUACAGCCCUUAUUUUUGCCCUUUCUUUUCUGCCUGGCUGUUUAACUCCUGGAUGUCUGAUUUAACUACAUCUGCAGCUUCUCACUGAUAUGUUUACGGGGAUCAGAUGCCUAUAUUCUGAUUGCUUUUCCUGUCUCUGGGAAUUAGAUGUAAUCCAUGUACACAUUUGCUCUGAGUUAGAUCUUAGAAAGCAAUGGACC
RNAcentral lists this long non-coding RNA (711 nucleotides) under Macaca fascicularis (crab-eating macaque). RNAcentral describes it as "lncRNA (ENSMFAG00000051822.1)". Lineage: Eukaryota; Metazoa; Chordata; Mammalia; Primates; Cercopithecidae. The record is from RNAcentral.